RNAcentral lists this long non-coding RNA (327 nucleotides) under Mytilus galloprovincialis (Mediterranean mussel). Lineage: Eukaryota; Metazoa; Mollusca; Bivalvia; Mytilida; Mytilidae. The record is from RNAcentral.
CCAAAACACAAAAACUUAACUCUGAGCAAUGAACCAUGAAAAUGAGGCCAAGGACAAAUAAAACCUGCACAACUGACAUGUACAUCAUACAUUAUUUCCAUACACCAAAUAUAGUUCCCCGUUUGCAUACAGUAUUAGAGAAAAAAAGACCAAAACUAAAAAAAAAACUUAACUUUGACCACUGAACCAUGAGGUCAAGGUCAGAUGACACCAGCCAGCUAGACAUGUACAGCUUACAAUCAUUCCAUACACCAAAUAUAGUAGACCUAUUGCAUACAGUAUAAGAAAAACAGACCAAAACACAAAAACUUAACUAUAACACUGAAC